GUUGGUUGGGGAUGUAGCUUGGCAACACUGUGCCUGCCUGGUAAGCGCAAGGUCCUGAGUUUGAUUCCUGGUACUGAAAAAAAACAAAAAAACAAAACAAAGAAACAAAAAAACAAAAAAAGAAAAGACAUGCUGCUCUUAUGGAAAGGUGACUUUUAUUUCCACCCUGAAUGAUUAUUACACCAUUAUUUAAACAUAUCUGAAAAAAUCCUGAAAUAAUUUAAACAGAAGGCACAGAACAAAUCAAAAUAUUUAACUGUAAGAACUUAAGUGAGAAAAUUCAAACAUUUCAACAGCAACAAUAAAUUAUGAACAGGUCUCCAUCACCAAAUAUCAUUCUGAUCAAAAGCUAUAGUCGCUCCUUAUAACUCUAUUGUGUUGGCUGAUUCCCAGAUUUCCAUGAUAAAAAUACUGAAAAAAAUUCUUUCAAAAUACUCAUUAGACCACCAGGUUCAGUGUAUUUUACAUAUGACCAAGUAGCAAUUAUGCUAUUUGUUGAUGGAUGCCCAACCCCUAAGAAAUGACACAUUCUUAAAAACUUUAAAAAAAGUAGCAAUGUUGGUUACAAAAUUCUAUUUGGGGAACAGAAAAAAAACUUGUUCCAAGUCAAUUAGAAUAUCAAAGCAUUUCAAUAUCAAAUUGCUUGAAAAGCCAAUCUUCAUGUAACAGUAAUAUACUGCAUGGGGCAUUUCACUGUAUCCUGAUUAAGUAUCGACUAUACAGUGUUGCUGCAGGGUUGAACAAGUCAGUAGCGAUUAUUGUCGCCAAUUCUUGUUUAUUCCAAAGAGAUAUGUUUUUUUUUUUUGGUACCAGGGAUCGAACUCAGGACCUUGCGCUUGCGAGGCAGGCGGCAGAACCACUGAGCUAAAUCCCUGGCCCUGAAAGAGAUAUGUUUUUACAAAGCAUUAUAAAGCUAACUGGAAUAAUCAAUAAGAUGCUACAGAUAUAAUAAACCACAGCAAUGCGUUUGAAAAUGAAGUGGUCAUGCUUCAUAAUAUACUGUAGUAUUUGAAAUACAUUCUAUGAUUAUCAAUACCAUUUAUUACAGAGGUCACUUGGAAAUUAGCUCAGAUUCUGAACUAGCUCUCUAAGUGAAACUUUUUUCAAGUAUGCAUAAUAUUAGUAAAGAUUUUUUUUUAACUUUCUUAUGUGUUCAAAGCACAACUGUGUUGAAUAUGGGAUGAGACAGUUUUCAAAACUAUUUUAAAAAUAUGAAAUAGUCCAGUGACCAAGAGUGGACUGAAAGAUAUUAACAUAUAAAACCCACUAUUUCAGAUUUUAAAAA
RNAcentral lists this long non-coding RNA (1285 nucleotides) under Heterocephalus glaber (naked mole-rat). Its description in RNAcentral is "lncRNA (ENSHGLG00000033653.1)". Lineage: Eukaryota; Metazoa; Chordata; Mammalia; Rodentia; Bathyergidae. The record is from RNAcentral.